UACGUAGGGUGCAAGCGUUAAUCGGAAUUACUGGGCGUAAAGGGCUCGUAGGUGGCCAACUAAGUCAGACGUGAAAUCCCUCGGCUUAACCUGGGAACUGCGUCUGAUACUGGAAGGCUUGAGUAUGGGAGAGGGAUGUAGAAUUCCAGGUGUAGCGGUGAAAUGCGUAGAUAUCUGGAGGAAUACCGGUGGCGAAGGCGGCAUCCUGGACCAUUACUGACGCUGAGGCGCGAAAGCUAGGGGAGCAAACGGG
Molecule: ribosomal RNA, 253 nt
Filed under: uncultured bacterium
Lineage: Bacteria
Description: partial 16S ribosomal RNA
Rfam family: Bacterial small subunit ribosomal RNA
Source: RNAcentral